GAAUCUUUCAACCGAAGCUGUGGUAACGGGAACAACAAGAAGUAUUUCACAAAGCUGUUUAGCCGGGUGUAUCCCACAUCAGCUUCCAUAAUAUUAAUCAAUGGACUUCCAUGUAUCACAUUUCUAUUGUAGAUGAUUCACCGCGAUAUGAAAAUUACAUUUGUCUAAUAACUAUCCGAUUUUCAUUACUGUUCGUCAGAUUUUCUCCGGGGGGUUGCCU
This is a non-coding RNA of Cinara cedri, 220 nucleotides long. The record is from the annotation of a GenBank genome assembly. Lineage: Eukaryota; Metazoa; Arthropoda; Insecta; Hemiptera; Aphididae.